GCACGCGAAAUCCCUCCCCCGUCCCACGCCCUCGCGAUCCCCUUCCCCGAUGAAUCCGCUCGACCUCGCCUCGACCUCGACACCACCUCCCUUGAACCCUCGCAAUCGCUGUCGCAUCCUCCUCCUAGCAGGCGGCCUCCCGACGCCGCCCUCGCAAUCGCCUCGCGCGAACCGACGCCUCCUCCCCGGCGAGGCAAUCUGAUCCGAUCCUGCCCUGUCGGUCCUCGCCUCCCAUCGCUCGCCCCGGAGCGCCUCCAUCAGACGAAGUGCAAGCCGCUCCUGUCGGAGCCUGUCGCCGGGCGCCAACCAAAAUCCAGCCGGAGCUUCGUCCCCGUGCCUGGUGAGGACACAAACGAGAUCCCCUGGCUCUCCUCUUCCUGUCCCCCUCCUCACCCAGGCUCCUACAUAGCAAGACCGCCGUGGAUACAAAUACAGAUCUCCCAUCCACCAUGAACACAAAACAUCAAGCUAUUUUGUAUUGUAGAUUAAAGCCUUGUCUAACCUCGAAGCCAAUAUAUAUGAUGGUGAACUUUUGCUUCACGGUUCCUAGAACUAAUCCAGGCGAAGUGAAGGCUGGGGCAGUCGUACUUGCAGUCGCACUCACUCUCCAGGUGUCUUAGCACAGAUUUCUCAUGUUUGGUGAGGAAGAAUAUGUGCCGUCACUGAUCUUAAACAAGGUAGGUACAUGGAGCCUGUGUUGUAGAGAGUUCUGAUGAUUGUGGAUAGGGGAACAUUUAGAUGGAGGAGCAGAUUCACAACAAGGAAAAUCUUUUAAAUGAUAUGAAGCUGAAUCAUGAUAGUUAUAACCUACAUAUUUCCACCUUAAAGCCAACUUUAAAUGUUAGAAGUAACAAAGCCAACAUUGUUGUCCAGACCUUUUCAUCUGUUCCCAUCCGAUGUUGGCCAGCUCCAUGAUAUAUAUUUUUCCUUGAUUGUUGCAUAUAGUGCAAAAGAUUAUGGUUGCUCAUCUCUUAAAAUUUGUACGAUUGUUGUAUAUAAUAAUUUGGUUUUUAGUCA
This is a long non-coding RNA of Panicum virgatum (switchgrass), 1017 nucleotides long. RefSeq lists it as uncharacterized. The record is from RefSeq and is a predicted model, not a curated record. The transcript has 3 exons. NCBI's taxonomy places the organism in Eukaryota, Viridiplantae, Streptophyta, Magnoliopsida, Poales, Poaceae.